UACGUAGGUGGCUAGCGUUGUCCGGAUUUACUGGGCGUAAAGAGCGCGCAGGCGGUCGUUCAAGUCGAGUGUGAAAGCCCCCGGCUCAACUGGGGAGGGUCACUCGAUACUGAUCGACUCGAAGGCAGGAGAGGGAAGCGGAAUUCCCGGUGUAGUGGUGAAAUGCGUAGAUAUCGGAAGGAACACCAGUGGCGAAGGCGGCUUUCUGGCCUGUUCUUGACGCUGAGGCGCGAAAGCUAGGGUAGCAAACGGG
This 253-nucleotide ribosomal RNA is filed under the name uncultured bacterium. RNAcentral's name for it is "partial 16S ribosomal RNA". It matches the Rfam family "Bacterial small subunit ribosomal RNA", at positions 524 to 776 of the family's 1533-position model. The record is from RNAcentral.